RNAcentral lists this ribosomal RNA (253 nucleotides) under uncultured bacterium. RNAcentral describes it as "partial 16S ribosomal RNA". It matches the Rfam family "Bacterial small subunit ribosomal RNA", at positions 524 to 776 of the family's 1533-position model. The record is from RNAcentral.
UACAGAGGAUGCAAGCGUUAUCCGGAAUGAUUGGGCGUAAAGCGUCUGUAGGUGGCUUUUUAAGUCCGCCGUCAAAUCCCAGGGCUCAACUCUGGACAGGCGGUGGAAACUACCAAGCUGGAGUACGGUAGGGGCAGAGGGAAUUCCCGGUGUAGCGGUGAAAUGCGUAGAGAUCCGGAGGAACACCAGAGGCGAAGGCGGCGCACCGGGCUGCACCUGACGCUGAUCCGCGAAAGCCAGGGGAGCGAACGGG